CUCUCCGUGGGAGCGCUGUUGCGGGCGCUCGCGCGGAGGCGACGGGGAUCGGCGCGGGCGUCGGCGGCUGCUCCUAGAGGGCAUCGGAUGGGCCGCCGGUUGUUGUUGGAGGCUCUUGACCGCGUCCGUCAGUACGGUCAUCUGCCGUACGAUGGCCGCGAUCUGCGCCUCCGUGGUCACCGCAGGGUGUGGAGAGCUGGGCUCCGCCGCUGAGGGUGGCGGGGAGGCCUCUUCCCGACGGGAAGAGCGCCUCGCCGACCCGGUGAUCCUCGAUCGCUGGGCUCUUGUCUUCGUCAUCAGUAUC
This 304-nucleotide long non-coding RNA is filed under the name Elaeis guineensis (African oil palm). RNAcentral describes it as "long non-coding RNA (EGUI_LNC074761)". Lineage: Eukaryota; Viridiplantae; Streptophyta; Magnoliopsida; Arecales; Arecaceae. The record is from RNAcentral.